AUUGAACGCUGGCGGCAUGCCUUACACAUGCAAGUCGAACGGUAACGGGCCUUCGGGUGCCGACGAGUGGCGCACGGGUGCGUAAUACAUCGGAACGUGCCCGAUCCUGGGGGUUAACGAGGCGAAAGCUUUGCUAAUACCGCAUACGAUCUACGGCUGAAAGCAGGGGACCGCAAGGCCUUGCGCGGACGGAGCGGCCGAUGGCAGAUUAGGUAGUUGGUGGGAUAAAGGCUUACCAAGCCGACGAUCUGUAGCUGGUCUGAGAGGAUGAUCAGCCACACUGGAACUGAGACACGGCCCAGACUCCUACGGGAGGCAGCAGUGGGGAAUUUUGGACAAUGGGCGCAAGCCUGAUCCAGCCAUGCCGCGUGCGGGAUGAAGGCCUUCGGGUUGUAAACUGCUUUUGUACGGAACGAAAAGCCUUCUUUUAAUACAGGAGGGUCAUGACGGUACCGUAAGAAUAAGCACCGGCUAACUACGUG
This 482-nucleotide ribosomal RNA is filed under the name uncultured bacterium. RNAcentral describes it as "partial 16S ribosomal RNA". It matches the Rfam family "Bacterial small subunit ribosomal RNA", at positions 30 to 507 of the family's 1533-position model. The record is from RNAcentral.